UUCACAUGUUCACAUGAUUAAAGGUAUUCCGGUAGACGAUGGGGAUGCGUUCCAUUAGAUAGUAGGCGGGGUAACGGCCCACCUAGUCUUCGAUGGAUAGGGGUUCUGAGAGGAAGGUCCCCCACAUUGGAACUGAGACACGGUCCAAACUCCUACGGGAGGCAGCAGUGAGGAAUAUUGGUCAAUGGGCGCAGGCCUGAACCAGCCAAGUAGCGUGAAGGAUGACUGCCCUAUGGGUUGUAAACUUCUUUUAUAAAGGAAUAAAGUCGGGUAUGUAUACCCGUUUGCAUGUACUUUAUGAAUAAGGAUCGGCUAACUCCGUGCCAGCAGCCGCGGUAAUACGGAGGAUCCGAGCGUUAUCCGGAUUUAUUGGGUUUAAAGGGAGCGUAGAUGGAUGUUUAAGUCAGUUGUGAAAGUUUGCGGCUCAACCGUAAAAUUGCAGUUGAUACUGGAUAUCUUGAGUGCAGUUGAGGCAGGCGGAAUUCGUGGUGUAGCGGUGAAAUGCUUAGAUAUCACGAAGAACUCCGAUUGCGAAGGCAGCCUGCUAAGCUGCAACUGACAUUGAGGCUCGAAAGUGUG
Molecule: ribosomal RNA, 579 nt
Filed under: uncultured bacterium
Lineage: Bacteria
Description: bacterial SSU rRNA
Rfam family: Bacterial small subunit ribosomal RNA
Source: RNAcentral